GCCGCGCCGCGAGUUCUGGGGGGCGGCGCGGAUGAUCGACAAAUCGGUUGUUUUCAUCGUGAAUUCAAAAUCAUUAAUUAGUUUUUGUCCGGCGUUUUACGAGCUUCAAUGUAUGCGCAAUUGUAAAAGUAUAGAAAGUGAUGCUUGGCUUGACAAACAAAAAUGCAUACGAAUGCAGUGAUCGAGAGUUGGGGAAUCGACACGUUGAGGAAUCGAUCGUUUUAAAGGAAUCGGUGAACGGGUCGGUUGAUAUGGCCAUUUAUAUCAAUCUAGACUUCCGGUAAACAAUAAAGGAGCAACGUGAUCGACACCCGGGGCAAGGAAUGGCGGUGAAAAAUAGCGAAAAUGCACGGUCGAAGCGAAACCGGUCACUUCCGGUCAUCCGUGUCUCACGCUUCCAUCCUUCUUCGACGCGCAUUGUCGAUGAUAGUCUAGAUCAGACUGUACCACGACUUAGAAGACGUUGAUGAGGUCUAUAUGAAAGAUGGGUCAGGGUCAUGUACAAUGUACUCUGUACACACAACGACAAAAUUUCAUAACGCGAGGCUGACCUGCACGUUCGCGUCGAUUUGAACGGUCCGGCUGCAUGAAAGCUGCGGAAUGCGAGCAGCUUCCUGUUUUGGGACCCCAUAAGCAACAAAUCAUAACGCCGUAAUAUCAAUCGAUCGUAAUGCAAACUCGUCGAUCAGAAGAUAUGUGCAUGAAUAAUUUCAACAGAUCGUACGAUGAAGCACGACAGUUGUUUUAUUCGGCGAAAAGUGCAACGACGUUUGUUUUGCCAUUGGCUUUAAGCAUAAAGGAUCAACUAAAGUUGAGCUAUAUUCAAUUAAUAUACGUAAGUCCUGGUAGUAUUUAAUCGUGAAGAAACGAUGAACUUUUACGACGACUCUUCAAUUUCGAUAUUUUUGUAUGUAGAUUCGCUAUUUUGAACUGUUAUCAGAAUACAAUGGUUAUUACUGUUAUCAAUUGUUACUACUAACAUAUUUACUGAUAGUUUUAUAGUUUAAUCCAUAACAGCUUUAUAUUAAAUGGAUGAAAAUUGUGUAAUAGUUUGGAGUUGAAUGAAUGAGUCCAAUUUGAGAAAUUAGUUCGCUUAUACAUAAAUUGUACAGUUUCAAACGAAUUUGUAGAAAACGACAAGUAAUAACUUGUCAUCUAAAUAAAUCUAAAUUAUUCUAAAUA
Molecule: non-coding RNA, 1182 nt
Organism: Megalopta genalis
Lineage: Eukaryota; Metazoa; Arthropoda; Insecta; Hymenoptera; Halictidae
Source: RefSeq, a predicted model, not a curated record